AGCGAACGCUGGCGGCAUGCUUAACACAUGCAAGUCGCACGGUCAGCAAUGUCAGUGGCGGACGGGUGAGUACCGCGUAGGAACGUGUCCUGAGGUGGGGGACAACCCCGGGACACUGGGGCUAAUACCGCAUAUGGGCUGAGGCCCAAGGCCGAGGGGCGCGUUUGGAGCGGCCUGCGUCCGAAUGGGUAGUUGGUGGGGUAAGGGCCUACCAAGGGUGCGAUCGGUAGCUGGUUAGAGAGGACGGCCAGCGACACUGGAACUAGGACACGGUCGAGAAUCUUACGCAAUGGAGCAAAGGGGAAUAUAGGAAAACGGCGGAAAGGAUGAAGGAGCUAGGACGGGAGAGUGCUGUAGGUCGGGGGGACGGAAAGCCCUUUCGACGGGUACGAUGAUGACGGUACCCGUAGAAGAAGCCCCGGCUAACUUCGUG
RNAcentral lists this ribosomal RNA (433 nucleotides) under uncultured bacterium. Its description in RNAcentral is "partial 16S ribosomal RNA". It matches the Rfam family "Bacterial small subunit ribosomal RNA", at positions 30 to 507 of the family's 1533-position model. The record is from RNAcentral.